Molecule: long non-coding RNA, 4687 nt
Organism: Strigops habroptila (Kakapo)
Lineage: Eukaryota; Metazoa; Chordata; Aves; Psittaciformes; Psittacidae
Exons: 2
Source: RefSeq, a predicted model, not a curated record
AAUCUGCAGUUUCCACUGAACAUCUGAGCCAAAGUUAUUAGGGAGUUAAUAAAAAAGAAAUAAUAGCAUGUUGAAUAUAAAUGAAUCUUAUACAUGGAGUAAUUUUUUUAUGAUGUUUCUCACAUUCUACACCAUUCCAACAUUUUAAUAGCAUCCUUUCAGUUGAUAUAUCUAAGUUCUUUAAUAUACUUGAGAUAUUUGCUGCAAGUAUCUGCAGCAAAAAGCAAAAGGGAAAACACAUUUCCAGAUAUAUGUUUAGGCACUGUUCUUAAAUAAGCUGUCAUUACUGACCAUCUUGCCUUACUUAGUGUGUCAGAGUUGUGUGAGUUCUGUCUGGAUUAAAAUUACGGUCUUUUUGGACUAGACCUUUGAUUCUUAGCAUCAUGAACAAGUAUAGUGAUUUACUGCAUGAAGGUUUUUCCCAAAUGUAGGUAGACUACUGUGAAGAAGUGAAUUUGGUUACUUUCUGUAAGUUGUUCAAAAGUGAGCCUGUUUACUGAUACGGUGCAAGCUGUAUUUAAAUUACAGUUGUGGUUCUGCGAUUUUCUUUUUAUGGGGAUUGGAAAAGAGAGAGGACAAUAAUGAAAGCAAUGUGGGAGGAUGAAAGCGGGUCAGAAAAGGGAGAGGGAGUUUCUGAUUGAACCAGUGACUUCCAGUGAGAGGGCGUGACUAAAUGAAGCAGAGCUUUUUCUAUUGUAUUUAUGUCAGCAUUAUUUGAUAUAGUGCCAAAAGUGUAUAUAGGGCUGUACAGUAGAAGACUUGUUUGAAACACAUAACAUGUUCCUUGUGCUGGAGGACUUAAAUUCUUUAAGUGUAGGCCGGAGCAGUGCAGGAACAUGCAGUACAAAGAUGUGAUAGUGCAUGGUUGGUGGCAUUCACCCUGGAGCAGGUGGGUCUUUUUUUUUCCUUAUUAUUCUUCUUGAAGAGAGGGAAUGUUUUGUGUAGCGACGAAAAACUUUCUGGUUUUGUGAUUUCGGGGGCUGCUGUGCCCCCUACUUCCACAGAACCACAGUGCAGUUAGACCACCCAUCAUUUGCUCUUUACAGAGGAGAAAAGGACUUCAGGAGUAGGAGAAAUGCUAGCAUUGUUCAUGUCCCUUAGACAGUCUCAAUUGGUGAGGUUGUAAUUAACUUUACCUCAUUUUGUAGGAUGGAUAAGAAAGAAGGUACAUUGGGUCAGUAGUAUUUCAAAGCAGAUUGGCUGAGGUUGGCUCUUUGUACAUUAUGUGUGGAUAUGAAAACUGUAUUUAUUCAAAAAAAUGGGUUAGCUUUUAGUUCAAGUCCUUAUCUUCAGGGCAAAGUCUUCAUAGCAAUGGAUGUUACGGGUAGUACAACUGUCUUUGUUUCCCUUAACGAUCAGACCUAUGGAUAUUGAAACCAUUUUUGUUUUGGAGAAGACCUUCUGAAGGUCUUUGUUUUAGCCAUUUAUAUGGUUCAUUUAUUCAGUAUUCUUAUCCAUGGAAAAGAUAAACGUGAAAUGUUCUGUUUGAGCAUAAGUAAUAUUAAUUGCUUGUGUUUAGUUCCAUCCGAACUGAAUUCGUAGAUCCAAUUAUUUGUCUUUUGCAUUAAUCGCUGAGAAAUUGUGUCCUGUAGGUGUUUUGGGUUUUUUUAGUCAUGUGUUGAAUCUGUAAAACAUCACUUUUUUGACCUGUGCCUUUUUAUCAUUGGUAAAUCAUAGCAGUGCCCUGUUUUCAGCUUCAUUUAAAAAAUAAAGGAUAUCAGUGUAAAAUAAGGUGCACUUACAGAAAUUAAAUGCAUCUGGUAUGUCCAACAGCAAACAAAUACUAAAAGUGAUGUGAAUCAACAGCUAUAUUUAAUGUGGAUUUCACAGGCAAAUCAUAGCAGAAACCAAAUUUUAUGGUCUUUUUUAUAUGCCAGCUCAUGCUGAAUCAUAAAUGGCCAUUUUUUAAUACAUAGGAAUUCUCUUUGUGUCUGUAAAAUCAACAGAUGGGAUAAUGUUUCCUAGUGAUAGAUGAUCUUUUCCCUUUGGAGUUGUAUUCUAAAAAGUUUAUAGGAGAAUAUGGUUGUGUAGGUGAACGCACAGAAAUAUUUUCAGUAUUUGCAUGUUGUCUUCAGAGAAAUCUGCACACAGGAAAAUACACCUACAUUAAGAGCAAAUCCCUUUGUUUUAAAACGGACAUCUGCUGCUUUGCUUUUACUGUUGAUAUAUUGUGGUGUUCUAAAUGUUGAAAUAUGCAAAACCAAAGUCUGAUAUGGAGUGGCUGAGUCUUACCAUGUAGGUUGCUGUAUACUGCUUAACCUGUAUGAGACGUUUUUAACAAAUGGAAGAUUAAGGGAUAGUUCCUGAGGAGUGUUCAGUGUGUCCUGUACAUGGACACUGUUGUAUAUAUGUUGGCUUUGAUAAUUUUAAGCGUGUUUAAAGUCCGUGAGUGUGAACUUUCCUCAGUGCUUCUUCAGUUCCUCACUCAUCUGUCUGCAGUAAGCAAAUUAAAGCUGGAAAUGGGCAAAGGAUAGAGGAUUAAAAGAGAGAGGGAAAAUAGAGUCCCAGCAUGCUACUUGAAUCCAUCUCUUUCUGCUUUCUUAGGUGAUGUCUCUGCUAAUGGCUGCAAAAGAAUACUUUACAUUAAUCCUCAAACUUUAAAUGUAAACCUAGAAAACCUAGUAUUUCACUUUGCUAGGUCUUAGAUACAACCUCAGUAGACCAAGUAAACCUAGUGAGGUUGCAUACUGGUGAGCUUGUAGUACACCACACUUAAUGUGUUUGUAAUAACUGAUCACAUAGCAACUUGAAAUUAAUUAUUUUAAAAGUAUUUUUGUUUCUUAUAGUAGAAGCAGUAGAUCCUGUUAUGAUGAAGAUUGUCUUGUGUUAAAAGCUGAAUGUACAUUUGAAAGACUUUCUAGCUUUCCAGGUAUGUAGCAGUUGUUUUAAAGUUGAGGGAGAAUGAUAAAAAGUACCUGUAAAUUACUUGCCUUAUUUUAAUUUCGUUCUUUAAAAGGCUUUUGUCUCACUGUUCAACCGCAAACUCUUCACAUUCUUUCACAGAUUCCAAGCUGUGUAAGAGGUGUGGGAGAAGGUUGCAUCUGACAGUUGACUGUUUUUAGAACUGGGAUUAAGUGAAGCACAGAGGUUUCUUUUGCUACUCUCCUAACUAUGGUAUACCUAUAGUAGUUGAAGUGGCAGUAUUUCUUCCUCCCCAGUCCUGUCAUACUUAAUGGCUUUUGGGAUACCAGCUAUUUGGUAGAUAUUAGAAAUGUUGGAACUUAACUUCAGCCUCUCACCAAACUUCAUUGUCACUUCAUAUUGUUGGAGAGCAGAGGCUGGAAUUUCUUAAGUUCUUUCUUUCUGAAUCGCACAGUGUAUUCUGAAACUUCUCUGGAGAUUAUAUAAAAAUCUGAAAUUCUUUUCAUUAGACCCCUCCUGUUUCAAGCAUUGUUUCCCUCAGACCUCCUCUGAGGAACUAAAAACUUUCUUUAAUCACUCUAUUCUGUAUUUAAUUUAGUUUUCUUAAUCAUCUCUAUCCCCUAGUAAGCCUGUGUGAAGCACACUGUUCUCGUCUCAAAACCCAUUUAUUUGACAGCUUUGUUUAAGGCAAAUGGGACUUGCCACUUGAUCAGUCUCUGGGUCUUACACUGCCCUGGAAUAGUGAUGGCCAUAUCUUCUUUCUGACAAUGUUGAGAGGUUUGUGCUUUAGGAGAAGGAGCUGGAAGGAUUGCACUGAACAGUUACAGGGUAACUUCCUUCCAGGGACGUUUCCUUCGGAGCUCUUGUCUGGGGAUUGUUUCCAGAAUCCAUGCUGAGGUAUUACAGUCAUCCCGUGUAGCUUAUUAAAGAGUUCCUCUAACACAUUCUGCUGCAAAUGCUGUGAUAUGUGCCCUUGCUAAAUCAGUCAAAAGCACCAACAGGUGUCCAGUUGGAAAUGAUUUUGCAGUGGGAUGUUUGGGAGUUAAACUUUUCCAUUUAACAGGCACUCUGCCUUUUCAAAAUCUGGCACUUGCUUCCCAUGUAGAAAGCAUCAAUUUUUCUUCAGUUUUCUCAUUGUAUUGGAUCUGGCUGGGAUGGAGUUAAUUUUCUUCGUAGCAGCUGGUCUGAUGUUGUGUUCUUUGCGAUCAAAACAGUGUUGAUAACACACUAAUGUUUUAGCACUGGCUGAACAGUGUUUGCACAGCAUCAAGGUUUCUCACUAUGUCCCGUCUGCGUCCCCCCACAGUGAUUGGGGGUGCACAAGACUUUGAGAGGGGACACAACCGGGCAGAUGACCUGAACUAACCAAAGAGAUAUUCCAUGCCAUAUAAGUGUCAGUGAUAAAAUGGAGAGGAGGGAGGUUUAGCAAGGUUACCCAGCUUUUGCUACGGAACUGGCUGGGCAUCGGUCUACCCUUGGGAGGUGUUGAGCGAUUGGCUUGUUUUGUUUUGUUUCUCUCCCACUUCUCUUUUGUUGAACAAUUUUUAUCUCGACUUACAAGUAUGCUUGCUUUCCACUCAUGCUUUUCUCUUCACCUGUGUGAUGGCGGGACAGAGUAAGCGGCAGCGUGGCUCUUAGCUGCCUACCGAGCUUAGCCCCUAACACCCAUGAUGAUCUCGUCAUGCUUAUGUAAGGCAAAAAGAAAAUAAAGAGAUCUCAACACAUGGCUAUUUGCUAUGUUUCUGGAUUCUUCAGGUUAAGGCAAGUAUUUUGCUUUUAUUUUCAGUGUUGAAAUUUUUAAAACACCAUGAAAACUUCUGUCACA